Molecule: ribosomal RNA, 459 nt
Filed under: Triticum aestivum (bread wheat)
Lineage: Eukaryota; Viridiplantae; Streptophyta; Magnoliopsida; Poales; Poaceae
Description: partial small subunit ribosomal RNA
Source: RNAcentral
AUGGCUAGCUCAGCGCUACUUCGAGAAGCCGUCGCGGUAGCGCAAGCCGGCAAGGCCAAGAUCGUGGAGUGGGCUCCUCAGCUGGACGUUCUGCGGCACAGAGCGGUGGGCUCCUUCCUGACACACGCCGGUUGGAACUCCACGCUGGAAUGCGCCGUCGAGGGCGUGCCGAUGGUGUGCUGGCCCUUCUUCCUCGACCAACAGAUGAACAGCCGUCUCGUGGGCGCCGUGUGGAGGACGGGGCUGGACAUGAAGGACGUGUGCGACAGGGCUGUCGUGGAGAGGAUGGUGAGGGAGGCCAUGAUGUCCGGCCAGAUCAAGGCAGCGGCCCAAGCCAUGGCGGAGCAGUUGAGUCUGGACAUCGCCGACGGGGGCUCAUCGUCAUCCGAGUUAGGGCGGCUCGUCCGCUUCAUCAGAGAGCUCAGCGUCAAGUCUGGUCCAGAGCCAAGAAUUACUUAA